CGAAGAGGAGGCGCCGCCGCUCCCGGCCGCCAGCCCGGCCCCCCCACAGUAGAGGUUGAGUCCGAUUACAGCGUUUCUCUUGAGGCCAAACAUCGUAAGCUGCUGCUGCCUCCGCCGCCGCCUCCUCCUCCUGGGUUGGGAGGAGCUGAGACCUCCUUCAGGAACAUAGCUCUGCACUAAAUUCAUGCUGAAGAAGAGAAGUCUUACCUGGGGUGGAACUACCUGCCUUCUAUCUGGUAUUAGAAAAUACCAGUUUUUUGUCUGUUUUUUUCUCUCCCUCAAAAAUUUCAGCAGGCAUCAUGCACAGAAUCUACAGUAGGAGCAAGCCUCGGCUUGUUACAUGGACACAGCGAGCCUCCUCUUGGAUAGGGGUCUGCUGGAGGAGAGGAGCCCGAGCCACAGGCCCAGAAAGCAUUUUGCCUCCUUUUUAUUCUUCCAUUUCAGCCAGGCAAGGAUGAGUUGAUGUCUUGUGUCUUCUCUUCCCUGUGUCUUUCAUUUCAAAUUGCAGAAAUGAAGGGGCGCCUGGGUGGCUCAGUCGGUUGAGCGUCCCUCUUCGGCUCAGGUCAUGAUCUCGUGGUCUGUGAGUACGAGCCCCGCGUAGGGCUCUGUGCUGACAGCUCAGAGCCUGGAGCCUGUUUCAGAUUCUGUGUCUCCCCCCAUUCCCCACUGCCCCCCCCCCCCCCCGCUCAUGCUCUGUCUCUCCCUCUCUCUGUCAAAAAUAAACAUAAAAAAACAAAACAAAUUGCAGAAAGGAGGAGAUCAUAUGCCCAGACUUCCCCUCCCAAAACAGCUUUCCAGCUGAACACAACAAAGACAAAAAACCAAAGCAACCCUCCUCCCUCCCACAACAGUUUUUUACCUACUGUCAGAGGAGGCAUAAGCCAAGAUUUCCAAAGGCACUAGUGGCUGCUUCCCAGGUGUCCCAGAAUGGGGUUUUAUUUUAGCGUGAGAACAAAUUCCAUUUAUUGAGCGUCUACUUUGCCAGCCACGGUCCAAAUUUCUUUACAUACACCUAAUUCAUUCUAACAAAAGCCAUUUAAGGUUUGUAUUAUAAUUAUCUUCAUAUCACAGAUGAAGGGACUGAUGCUCAGAAAGGUUAAGUACUUCUCUUUAGUUUUUUAAUUUUAUUUUUGAGAGGGACAGAGUGCAAGUGGGGGAGGGGCAGAGGGAUAGGGAGACAGAAUCCAAAGCAGGCUCCAGGCUCUGAGCUGUCAGCACAGAGCCUGACGCGGGGCUCGAACUCAUAGACUGUGAGAACAUGACCUGAGCUGAAGUCGGACACCCAACUAAUUGAGCACCCAGGCACCCCAGUACUUCUGUGUUUAAACUGUGACUUCCUCAGGCAAAGAAGAUGCUUAAGAACAGUACUUGUCAGUGGGAAGUGGUAUCUGGAAGCAGGAAUGAGAAGCCUGGAACUGUGUGGAGAGGGGCGCCUGGCUGGCUCAGGCGGAAGAGCAUGUGACUCUUGAUCUUGGGGUUGUGACUUCAAGAUCCACGUUGGAUGUAGAGAUCAAAUAAAUAAAACUUAAAAAAAAAUGUGUGGAGAAUAGAAGAGGUAAGGUAAUAGCAAAUUAUGAAAACUGCAUGUCCCAGCAAGAACUGCCAUUCAUCCCUACCACUCAGGCUCAGACUGGGUUAUGCUCUAGGGGUGUGUGUAAACACAUCUCUAUAGCAACCAUCUGGUUUCUGUCCUUCUAUGACAAUACAGGCUUGCAGUGUCUAAAUAUGGGCACUGGUGAGGAUGAGUGUGGCUGGGGAGGGGAAGUUGCCUGCUGAGUCAAAGGAAAAUUGUGCAGAAAAGGCAGAUUCCUUUGGUGUGCCCUCAUCUACCCCUCCCAGCCCACCCCCAAGGUGUCACUUUCGGGGCCAUGGAGGUAGAAGCUGGAGGAUCCCAUCUGCUGAAGGCAUGCUACCAUGCCCAGAGGGAAACAUGAGGGAGAGAAGCCAGGCGCAGGGUAUAGGAGUAAGGAUGGGUGCUGCUGAGAGGAUUAAAUGCGACCAGGACCGAGUUACCGGAGCCCCUUCCUUAAGUCAGCACAGUGGUUCUCAACUAGGGGAUCCUAGAGAACAUUUGGCAACAUCUGGGGACUUUUGUUGUUGUUCUGACUGAGCAUUUAGUGGGUAGAGGACAGAGCUGCUGAUAACAUCUCUAAAAUAUACAGGACAGUGCCCACAACAAAAGAUGUACCUAGUCCAAAAUGUUCACAGUCCCAAGGUAGAGAAAGCAUGAGUUAGAGGAUGCUGGUCCUACAGUAGCCCUCUCCUCGAUCCACUGCAGGACACCAUCACAUGUUAUUUGAAGGGGAUACCAUGGACACCAGCUUGUUCAGCUUGGCCCUGAGCUCCUCUCAAGCUUCCAACCCGAGUAUUUAGUUUAAUUUUUUAAAAUAUGUUUACUUAUUUUGAGAGAGUGCACACAUGCACGAGUGGGGGAGGGGCAGAGAGAGAGAGGGAGAGCCCAUCCCAAGCAGGCUGUGCAGUGUCAGCACACAGCCGGAUGUGGGGCUCGAUCCCAUGAACCAUGAGCUUAUGACCUGAAUCAAAAUCAAGAAUGGGAUGCUAAACUAACUGAGCCACCCAGGUGCACCUAGUUUGUUUACUUCUAAUAAAAAUAAAUGAAAGCCAGAGUCCCAAAUUUGCUGUGAAGUCAGCCUCUAUAGAAGAUGGCCUUAAAGCUGCCUUUAACGGCUGUGCAGCUAGGCAAAAGGCACUAUCUCUUGGCCUCAGUUUUACCAUUUGUGAAGUGAGUACACUGAAUGCAUGAUCUCUAAUGUCCCUUUAGUUCCCAAACUUUGCACUUCUGAAUAUUUUUCAUAUGUAGUUGUGCCCAGUUUUGGUCACUGGAACAGAAAAUGACUCAGAAGUGCAAGUAGGGAAGUCUGAAGGGGACUCAGACUUUCCUAAUCAUAACAGGCAUUUCAGACAUGGACCUUAACUGUUGAGCCAGGGCUCACGGUCACUGAAUGAAGCCAGGACUUCCCUUUGUGUCUCUGAGUAGGUGGUCUCUUCAUGGGGUAAUUUUAGCAACAGUAAAUUGCUUUUGCUAACCACUCACUCUCACCCCCUACCAACAGGUCUGCUAAUGCAUGAGAGUUUUCUUUCUCAUUAAAAAUAUAAAUAUUGUAGGGGCACCUGGGUGGCCCAGUUGGUUAAACAUAUGACUUCAGUUCAGGUCAUGAUCUCAGUUUGUGAGUUUGAGCCCCGUGUUGGGCACUGUGCUGGCAGCUCAGAGCCUGGAGCCUCCUUCAGAUUCAGUGUCUCCCUCUCUCUCUGCCCCUCCCCCGCUCAUGCUGUCUCUCUCUCAUAAAUCAAUAAAACAAU
Long non-coding RNA from Neofelis nebulosa (Clouded leopard), 3321 nucleotides. RefSeq lists it as uncharacterized. Lineage: Eukaryota; Metazoa; Chordata; Mammalia; Carnivora; Felidae. The transcript is spliced from 3 exons. The record is from RefSeq and is a predicted model, not a curated record.